RNAcentral lists this ribosomal RNA (462 nucleotides) under uncultured bacterium. RNAcentral describes it as "partial 16S ribosomal RNA". It matches the Rfam family "Bacterial small subunit ribosomal RNA", at positions 29 to 523 of the family's 1533-position model. The record is from RNAcentral.
AAUGAACGUUGGCGGCAUGGAUUAGGCAUGCAAGUCGGGGGAAUCCCAGCAAUGGGGGAACCGGCGUAAGGGGCAGUAAGGCAUGGGUACCUACCUUGGGGUUCGGGAUAGCCAUCAGAGAUGGUGGGUAAUACCGGAUGACGUCGUGAGACCAAAGAUUCAUCGCCCUUAGAGGGGCCCAUGUGAUACUAGCUAGUUGGGGGGGUAACGGCCCACCAAGGCGAAGAUGUCUAGCGGGUGUGAGAGCACGACCCGCGCCACUCGCACUGAGACACUGGCGAGACACCUACGGGUGGCUGCAGUCGAGGAUCUUCGGCAAUGAGCGCAAGCUUGACCGAGCGAUGCCGCGUGAGCGAUGAAGGCCUUCGGGUUGUAAAGCUCUUUAGUGGGGGAGAAAAGCCGCAAGGUGUGAUCUAUCCCAAAAAUAAGCACGGGCUAAGUUCGUGCCAGCCGCCGCGGUAA